GCUUAACGCGAAGAACCUUACCUACUCUUGACAUCCAGAGAACUUAGCAGAGAUGCUUUGGUGCCUUCGGGAACUCUGAGACAGGUGCUGCAUGGCUGUCGUCAGCUCGUGUUGUGAAAUGUUGGGUUAAGUCCCGCAACGAGCGCAACCCUUAUCCUUUGUUGCCAGCGGUUCGGCCGGGAACUCAAAGGAGACUGCCAGUGAUAAACUGGAGGAAGGUGGGGAUGACGUCAAGUCAUCAUGGCCCUUACGAGUAGGGCUACACACGUGCUACAAUGGCGUAUACAAAGAGAAGCGACCUCGCGAGAGCAAGCGGACCUCAUAAAGUACGUCGUAGUCCGGAUUGGAGUCUGCAACUCGACUCCAUGAAGUCGGAAUCGCUAGUAAUCGUAGAUCAGAAUGCUACGGUGAAUACGUUCCCGGG
Molecule: ribosomal RNA, 424 nt
Filed under: uncultured bacterium
Lineage: Bacteria
Description: bacterial SSU rRNA
Rfam family: Bacterial small subunit ribosomal RNA
Source: RNAcentral